Molecule: ribosomal RNA, 325 nt
Filed under: Puccinia graminis
Lineage: Eukaryota; Fungi; Basidiomycota; Pucciniomycetes; Pucciniales; Pucciniaceae
Description: partial 28S ribosomal RNA
Rfam family: Eukaryotic large subunit ribosomal RNA
Source: RNAcentral
CGCUGANCUUAAGCAUAUCAAUAAGCGGAGGAAAAGAAANUAACAAGGAUUCCCCUAGUNACGGCGAGUGAAGAGGGAAAAGCCCAAAUUUGUNAUCUGGCUCUUUCAGAGUCCGAGUUGUAAUUUUAAGAACUGUUUUCAGUGCUGGNCCAUGUAUAAGUNUGUUGAAAAGCAGCAUCAUUGAGGGNGAUAAUCCCNUUUNUGAUAUGGNCNACCACUGCANUAUGAUACAGUCUCUAAGAGUNGAGUUGUUUGGGAANNCAGCUCAAAGUGGGUGGUAAAUUCCAUCUAAGGCUAAAUAUAGGNGAGAGACCGAUAGCAAACA